UUAGAGCAACCGGAUAUUGUUUUUUUAGUGGAAUCUCAGCGUUUCCGAUGUGCCCAGCUAUUUCUUCCAAAGUUAGAGUUAGCUCAAAAUUCGAGAAGUGGAAAACAUUAUGUGUCGGGUCCCGGAAAGUAACCAGUUCUUUGAUGAUAUCACCCCGAGGGUUGAUGUCUAAUAAACCCGUGAGACCCUUUAGAUAUUUCUUCACUUAAUCUUGCCUCUAUUUGCCCAAGUCAUUCCACCAUAAUUUCAACUCGAAAUGGACUUUGGUCAUUAUUGAAAAAGGUUCAUUUUCCUUUGUGCUCAUCCU
RNAcentral lists this long non-coding RNA (307 nucleotides) under Nicotiana benthamiana. Its description in RNAcentral is "long non-coding RNA (NBEN_LNC018675)". The record is from RNAcentral. Lineage: Eukaryota; Viridiplantae; Streptophyta; Magnoliopsida; Solanales; Solanaceae.